This 612-nucleotide ribosomal RNA is filed under the name Cryptococcus sp. YS 88. Its description in RNAcentral is "eukaryotic LSU rRNA". It matches the Rfam family "Eukaryotic large subunit ribosomal RNA", at positions 57 to 659 of the family's 3401-position model. Lineage: Eukaryota; Fungi; Basidiomycota; Tremellomycetes; Tremellales; Cryptococcaceae. The record is from RNAcentral.
AAAAGAAACUAACAAGGAUUUCCCUAGUAACGGCGAGUGAAGCGGGAAGAGCUCAAAUUUGAAAUCUGGUAGCCUUCGGUUGCCCGAGUUGUAAUCUAGAGAAGUGUUUUCCGCGUUGGCCCAUGUACAAGUCCCUUGGAACAGGGCGUCAUAGAGGGUGAGAAUCCCGUCCUUGACAUGGACCCCCAAUGCUUUGUGAUACACUUUCAACGAGUCGAGUUGUUUGGGAAUGCAGCUCAAAAUGGGUGGUGAAUUCCAUCUAAAGCUAAAUAUUGGCGAGAGACCGAUAGCGAACAAGUACCGUGAGGGAAAGAUGAAAAGCACUUUGGAAAGAGAGUUAAACAGUACGUGAAAUUGUUGAAAGGGAAACGAUUGAAGUCAGUCAUGCUCUUUGGAUUAAGCCGUUCUGCGGUGUAUUUCAUUGAGCGGGGUCAACAUCAGUUUUGAUCGCUGGAAAAGGGCAGGAGGAAGGUAGCACUCUCGGGUGAACUUAUAGCCUCUUGUCGUAUACAGUGAUUGGGACUGAGGAACGCAGCAUGCCUUUUGGCCGGGAUUCGUCCACGUACAUGCUUAGGAUGUUGACAUAAUGGCUUUAAACGACCCGUCUUGAAA